This 523-nucleotide ribosomal RNA is filed under the name Microstoma microstoma (slender argentine). RNAcentral describes it as "partial 16S ribosomal RNA". It matches the Rfam family "Bacterial large subunit ribosomal RNA", at positions 1812 to 2541 of the family's 2925-position model. Lineage: Eukaryota; Metazoa; Chordata; Actinopteri; Argentiniformes; Microstomatidae. The record is from RNAcentral.
AACAUCGCCUCUUGCAAAUUUUAAUAUAAGAGGUCCCGCCUGCCCUGUGACUCUAAGUUUAACGGCCGCGGUAUUUUGACCGUGCGAAGGUAGCGUAAUCACUUGUCUUUUAAAUGAAGACCCGUAUGAAUGGCACAACGAGGGCUUGACUGUCUCCUUCUCUUCGUCAAUGAAAUUGAUCUUCCCGUGCAGAAGCGGGAAUAUAAACAUAAGACGAGAAGACCCUAUGGAGCUUUAGACAAAAGGCAGACUACGUUAAAACCCCAAUAUAACAGGACUAAACACAGUACCCCCUAGCCAACAUGUCUUUGGUUGGGGCGACCGCGGGGGAAAACCAAGCCCCCAUGUGGACUGGGGAAACCUUUCCCACAGCCAAGAGCUACAACUCUAAGCAACAGAAUUUCUGACCAAUAUGAUCCGGCAAAUGCCGAUCAACGGACCAAGUUACCCUAGGGAUAACAGCGCAAUCCCCUCCCAGAGUCCCUAUCGACAAGGGGGUUUACGACCUCGAUGUUGGAUCAGG